GAAAAGGAUUAGCAAAACCCUAACUAGAUAAUUAUGUAUAAUUGAGGAAAUUAUAUUAUUAUAUAAUUUAAUAUAUGUGAUUUUAUAUGAAUUUAACAUGUUAAAGACCCCGUUGGUGAGCCAGGGGCAUUUUGGUAAUUAUGACCCGAGAAGAGUAAAAUGAUGAAAUUAAUUUAAUUAUGUGCUUAAUAGAACUAUAUUAUUAUAUAGUAUGCCUGUGUUGUCUUUUCAGGUGUGUUCUGACAGGUUGGCGCGGUAUAGUCACAACCGGGUAUUUUGGGCCGAACCGGGUUCGGGCCCGAAAUGCAAAUUAGAUUGAAUUAAUUGGCAUUUUAUUUGAUAAUGAGAAAUCUGAAAUUUAAUUGGGUUUGAAUUGGUGUGUAAAUGUCAUUUUGCCCUUGCAUGCCUAAGUGAAUGUUAUUUGGCCCUAGGGGGCAAAAUGGUCUUUUUAGACCCUUAAUUUAUGUUUAAUAAAAGAAUGAUUUUAAGGAAAAGAGAAUUAUUUUUCUAGUUUUCCUUCAGCCCUAAAACCGUACCCCUCCUCUCCUCUUCACUUAUUUCUUAAAUGUUUAGAUUUUUGUAGAUUGUUCUUGAAUUGAAGGUUUUGUAAAGUUGAAUUUCUUGUGGAUAGAAGCUUGAAGUUGUGGAUUACCGGCACCUGGUCAGGAGCACCCGGGGAUUUGGAAUCUCUACUAUUGCGGGACAAUAGGAAAGGGUAAGGCAUUAGCUGAUCUGCCAUGAGUUUUCAGGAGCAGGACGAAGAAUGUACAUGUUCACGCCACUUCAGACCAAGCGGGUUAUGGGUCUAACAGUGUUGACUUUUGUAUUCUGUUUUGCCGCUUAGGCCGGCUAGUAAGAAAGAACUUGUAAUAAUUUUGUAAAUAUUUUUGGGAUCCCAACUAUGUUUGAAAAGUUUAAAUAUAUUACAAGUUUAUUUUCA
Molecule: long non-coding RNA, 940 nt
Organism: Cannabis sativa
Lineage: Eukaryota; Viridiplantae; Streptophyta; Magnoliopsida; Rosales; Cannabaceae
Exons: 3
Source: RefSeq, a predicted model, not a curated record